CCCACCUUCCAAGGAGAAGCAGCCCUUGGGGAAAGGGAGGCAGAGAGAGCUUUGCUGGGAAUGGCGGCAGGGCUGGGGAGGGGGAACAUUCGCUGGUUCUCCAGUUGGGGUUUUCCUAUGGGUUAAGGGAACCUAGAAGGGGCUGAUGCUGAGGAAAGGGCUCAGACAGGACUCCCCUUUGCCCCUGCUCGCCUGCUGAGGGCAGUGGUAUCACUGCAUCAAUUUCUGUGCCUCACUUCAGUAACUAGGGAGCUCCUUGAGGGUGGGGACCAUGGCCUUUUCUUUUCUAUUCUCCGCCCACCCCCUUAUCUGGCCACCCCACCGCAUAUGGAGUUCCUGGGCCAGGGAUCAGAUCUGAGCUACAGCCGGGAUCCUUAACCCACUGUGCCAGCCGGGAGUCAAACCUGUGUCCCAGCGCUCCAGAAAUCCUGCUGAUCCUAUUAUGCCACAGCAGAAGCGCCUCUUUUCUUUACCCCUGUGCCCAACCUGGCACAAGGUAAUGACCCAUGAUGUGCUCAGUGGGUUGUAGAAGUGCCCCUGAUCCCUGAGACCCAGGGAGGAAUCAGCCUGCUCUAGGCUCCUAGAAAUCUUUACCUCUCCACACUGGGCUUGGCCAGGGAGAGACAGAGCCUGCUGAGUUAGCUGGAAGGAGGCAGAGGGGAUGAUGAGGUAGCCGCAGCCCCAAAGUGCCCACUGGGGAAUUGUCCCUUUGCAUCUAUGCUGUGUGUUCUCUGCAAGAUUCAUGAACCUGGGGCAGGUAAAUUUCCAGGUGUUUGCAGUGAGAAGGUCCAGGGGUUUUCUAGGCACCCAGUGGCAGGUGUGAGUCGAUGACUCCACUUGGGGCCUCCCUGGGGGCAGCUAGCCAGGCUCAGGGCAGGAAGUGUCUGAUUCUGGGUCACUUGGCUGUUCUUGUUGCUGCUGAGAUUGUUCCUAUAGCCAAGAUCUUUGAUCUGGAAAGGAUAGGAGAAGAGCAUCCAGUUCAGCUCCUGACCUUCUGGCAAGAAGAGGGGUAUUAAUAUUCUCAGGUCCAUUUCAUGGGCAGGUAGCUGAGGCCCAGAAUGAUGGACCCACCUUAUAACUUAUAAGUCCUUGAAUGUGGCUCCUUCUGAUCGUUUCUUUUGGUCCUGACCAUGACUCGCUGUGCAUGGUUGGGGAGAGAUCGUGCUUCACUGACAAGGUGCAUUUUCUGUGGGGCGAGGCCAUCCUUGUCACUCGAGGCUUGAGAGGGCCAGCAAGGAUGUCCUUGCUCUAUAUUUGGGGCCUCAUGCAGAGAGGGUGGUAGGAAGACAGGGCGGCCUCUUGAACUUUGGGGUUCCUCUGAGUUGAGACCUUGCCUGGCUGGCCCCAAGAGGCUGUUGGUGGCUUGGGAAGCAAAGUAGGGAUGCCUGGCCUAGCCAGAGCUCCCGAGUUUCCCUCCACCAGCUCCACAUCACAGAAAUGCCUGGACUUCCUGGUCGUAAGAGGGGAGUUUUGGGAGUUCUGUCGUGGCUCAGUGAAAACGAAUCUGACUAGCAUCCAUGAGGAUGCAGGUUUCAUCUCUGGCCUUGCUCAGUGGAUUAAGGAUCCAGCAUUGCCAUGAGCUGUGGUGUAGGUCACAGAUGAGUCUUGGAUCCCACAUUGCUGUGGCUGUGGGGUAGGCUGGCAGCCGCAGCUCUGAUUCAACCCCUAGCCUGGGAACCUCGAAUUGCCAUGGGUGCGGCCCUAAAAAGACCAAAAAAAAAAAAAAAAAAAAAAAAAAA
Molecule: long non-coding RNA, 1739 nt
Filed under: Sus scrofa (pig)
Lineage: Eukaryota; Metazoa; Chordata; Mammalia; Artiodactyla; Suidae
Description: lncRNA (ENSSSCG00015011341.1)
Source: RNAcentral